AGUCCCGAGGUCCCGAAGAUCCCGAGAAGUAAGAUUCCCGAGCCGAAGCUCUGCCCGCGAGGAGUCCGGUUUUUGUGAAGAUCUUCCAGAUCUGCCGAAGAAUACUACUUCUACAAGCCGUAGUGUUGUCCGAUCAUCUUCUGAUCAAGUGAGUGUGUAGUUACUUUCUUCUAACGCAUAAUUAUGAAGUAUUUUAUACGAAAUACGUGUUAUGUGUAUAUUUUGUUGUUAUAUGUGUGAAUGUAUAUUCACUUUCUUCUAUCUUAUAGAUCUGAUUAUUUCUCUAUGAAAUACGUGUUAUGUGUGUGUGCCUCAUCUGUUAUGUGGAAAAUGUAUUGAUUGAGCAUGCUAUACAGGUUUUAAAACUAUGUAUAAAAAUGUAUAUUUUAUCUACUAAUAUGUUGGGUAGAACAUGGGUAGAUAGUUGGUGUGUAAUAAACAGAUGAGAGGCCUCGAUGUUGUUUUGAUCCAGUCAUCUAGCGGAAUUUAGAUGACGACCACAGACUUUUCUAGAUAGUCCAGUGGAACGCUAGCAGGCUCAUAACCUAUAUGUGUUAAUGAACUUGGGUGUUCAUUCGCUGUAUUCCAUCCCCCUCAUGGUUGCCUUAUUUGACUUAUAUUGCUGAGGAACCCCCGAAGCAUGUGUUGUCGCCCCGAUGAAAUAUUCUUAGACUAGGUCCCUUAUGUUAGUUGUCUUAGGGACGUAAAGUGAGAAUAACGGGAAUGGGUAAUUGGUUUAUUGUUGGUUGGUGGAAAUUAAAUAUAAUUAUUUAUUGUGGGUUGAAAACCCUAUAUGCUCUCCAGGCUCCCACGUCUGACCCACUCAGUUUAUUUGUAUUACAGGAAGUGGCGCAAGGGCAUGACAUGGAUGAAUCAUCAAGUUGGUUUGUUUACAAGUCUGUAUAUGUAUAUAUUUGUUGAAUGACUUGUAAUGUUAUCGUUUAUGCUUUAUGGUCUAUAUCGGAACAUGACAUCCCGAGUUAUGAUUUUAUAAUGAAAAUACAUUUUUUUUUAUGAAAUGCUUUGGUAAAUAUUAUUUUAUCACAUUUUGUUUUUGGGAACAAAUUCAGCAACUCUUUCAAAUCAAAAGGAUUUACUCUGAAAUUAUUUUAAAAGCAUAAAUGAAAAUCGGUCUUUUCUGGCCGAGAUUUUGGGGAUGUCACAGUUGGUAUCAGAGCAUUAGUUUAAGAAUGAUUUGAAUAUCUAUCGUGAAUGAGGAUCUAAUUUCACCUUAUUCGGUGUAUAGAUCAAAAAUGGUGAGAACAAGAAGUGGAGUUGGAAAUGCUGAUGAAAACAGGAAUCAACCACCAGUGAUUGAGCAAAUACCUGUCGUAGCAGCAGCACCUGAGCCAAUAACCAUGGCUGGUGUGCAAAUGAUGAUUCAAACAAUGUUGGAUCGUAAAAUGGAGGAGACUAGGCGAUUGCUUCAACAGAAUCGUGAAGAACUGUCAAUUCAUGUGGAAGAGCCUGAAUUAAAUGAAGGGCACUAGGAAGGUGGAAACUUCAGUGGGUCUAUUGGUCAAGCCAACCCACCGAUAGUUAGGCAAAACAACCAUGAUGGAAGGAAUGAUGGAAUGGGAUGCAAGUACAAGGAAUUUCUAACUUGCAAACCAUCGACCCUCAGUGGAAAGGAGGAUCCGAUUGGAGUUAUGGAUUGGAUCUCCGAAAUGGAGUUAGCUUUCAUGACUUGUGGCUAUAGAGACAAGUUGCAAACUAUCUAUGCAGUGCGUCAGUUUCAAGGUGGAGCCGUUAGUUGGUGGAACACUCUAGGGAAGAAUUUAAGCCCUAAUGAGCCACUACAAUUGACAUGGGCAGAAUUCUUGGUGCAGUUUAAACGCAAGUUCUGUUCGGCCCAAAAUGUGACAACCCAAGUUUACUUCGUUACAUUACCACGUUACCGUUAACGGAAUAUUCCAGUUUAUAAAAGUUAUGUUAAUUGGAGGUCGCCAAAUAAAUAAGUGUUUUAUUUAUUUAUAUAAUGUGUUGUUAAUGUCGUAAUAAAAAUAAAUAAAGACACUUACCUUACAUUUCCAUUUAAUUGGAAAAAGUUAGUUUUUAUUAUUACGACCACUAAAUCGUGUGCGACCAAAAGCCCCGUUAAACGACAGUAUUGGGUAGAUUCCCACUGAGCUCCAACUCCAACCCAUGUAUAAGGGGGGAGUAAACCCCAUUUGAACCUUUUCCACCCUCUCUCUCUAUACUCUCUCUCUUUAGGCUCGUUUUCGACUAAAAUCCGCAACCAAACGCUUCCAAAUCGUAAGUCCACUUACCCUAGCUUGUUCCAAACAUCUUGGCUUGUGAUUAUACCCCAAAAAUCGGACUUAGAAGCUGUGAAAGAGGAGUUUACGGCCUAAGAUCCUCCUUAGGCUGUAAACCCCUUAAAUGUGGCCAAAAUUACCCGAACUUGUCCCAUUGAGCCUAGGAACCAAUUAAGGAAUUUGUCUAGGAGUGUUUAAUCAUCAAAACACAAGAUUUUAGGGCAUAAAAGAGAGUUUACGGCCCAAGCACAUGCUUAGGCCGUAAACACCUCUAAACCUUGCAAAAAUGCCCCAAACACACUCCCAAACCACCCUUAGGCUUAAUACAUAAAUUAGGGGCUUGCUAUUUUGGGUUUAGAGCAUUCAAACACAAGGAAUUGAGGGAUUAAAAGGAUUUUACGGCCCAGACAUAUGCCAAGGCCGUAAACACCUCCAAAUCAAGCCAAAUGAUGGUUUUAAUCCCCUCGAAUGGCCUCAUACCUCAUUAUAAAUUACUAGGGUUGGAAUAGGGACUUAAAACUUCAAUAAAAUCAAGGUGUAGGAGUUCACGGCCGUGAACUCCCAUAGGGUGGUUCAUGGGCCGUAAACUUCCCUAUGGUCCCUUUAAAAGCCCUAAACCCAUUCAUACCUUCCGGAUUUGGACCUAGCAAAAUUCCACGAACAAGAUAGAGCCCUUAAAACACCCUAGAACCCCUCACCAUGAGUUUACGGCCGUAAACUCAUGGGGAGUUGUCCCUGGGCCGUAAACACCAUACGGUGAGUUUACUCUUGGAGAGUAAACUCCAUUCCUAAGUCAUUCAAACCCUUAAAUGUUACCCGGGACACCCCAAACACUUAACCAAAGUGUUUUCCGCUCCUUAGAGUGCGUAUACUUGUUUAAUUAGUAUUAUAUGUACUAAUGGUAUGUGAACCUAUGUUAUCAUAUGUUAAAUAGGUCACUAAGUGUGUCCAAGUCUUUACUUGACACUGAGCACCCAACCGGCACCUUCGUCGGAUCUACUUACACCAGGUGAGUUCAUACCCCUGAAUGAACCUUUUAAAUGUUUUUACAUGUUUUAUAGGGGGGAUACAAGUUAAACAUGCCAGUUAUCAUAUCAAUCACAUGUGAUUGAUAACCCGCAUGCACAAGGAUUUACCACACUGUAAACUGUUUUACCAAGUAGGACACUAUAAAUGGUUUUCUAAAAGGUUUUCACUUGUUUCAAAACUCUUACUUAUGCUGUUUUAUCAAAGUUCAUUGUAAACUGGUUUAUGAAAAGUUUCCAAAAGAUUUCUAAAGGUUUUUCAAACUUAUUUUACAACAGAAUACCCUGUCGUGAUUUUCUCAAGAAUAAAAGUUUUCUUCCAUGUUUUAAUACUCCUUCUUAGUUAAAGUUACUACUUGAUAACGCUUUCACUUUGUGAUAGCUUAUACCUGUUAGACGCUCUUACUUCACUUGUUGUCGCUUCCACUUCGUGAUACACUUAUACCAGUUAACGCUUAUACUUCGCGGUCCGGUUAUUCCACACUGUACACGUAUACUUCACGAUCCGGUUAUUCCAUACGAUUCGGUUAUACUUCACGAUAUGAUUCCACUUGUUACACACUCAAGCGUAGUUAGAUGUAUGUAUGUGCUUGUUUAGAUGCAUAUAAGUAAUGAUUGAAGGGCUUAGGAAGGCUUGUCCGCCCUAUUUCCUUUUCUUCGUUGAGAUGUGGUCUGGUGGGAUCGGAUGUCCAUCCGAAGGUCGUUUGAUUCAUUAGUUAUAUAUUAUGUACACAAGCAUAGACAUAUGGGUUUACUUUAGUCAGUUCAGUUAUGAGUCUCUACCUCUAGUUCAACACUGUAUUGGGAACACACUACCCACUAUUUGGGAUGCAUCUUCGGGACACGGCCUUCUCCGUCGUCUAGUUGGUAACCAGAGUCUCCUGUAGGGAGAGCGGACAUUGUGUGUAUAGAUCUAUACGGGAUUGACACCCCCGCACCCUGACUGCUAGCUACAGUCCACGGCCCACCAAGCCAAGGGGUGACAAAUGUCAUAUUUUAUAGACGCUUGUAGGGCGUCAAGUACUCUAGUGUCGGUUAGUAUGGUUACGAGAAUCCCAGGUUACCUUAUAAUUAAUGGCCUUAAGGUAAUGGUAAUUCACCAGCAAUUUACAUUGUAUGCUGGAAAACCCACUCUCGGAGUCACACUGUUUUAGACCUUGCUAGACGUAUCAUUCAUUUGAUACUGUCUGGGGUCUGUAUUCACUGUAUUCACUGUAUUUACUGUAUUCACUAUAUUCACUGUAUUCACUGUAUCCACUGUAUUCACUGUAUUCGCUGUAUCCACUGUAUUCACUGUUUUAUACCUUGCUAGACAUAUCAUUCAGUUGAUACUGUCUGGGGUCUGUGCUCACUGUUCUAGACCUUACUAGAUGUACCUUUCAUUUGGUACCGUCUGGGGUCUGUGUCUCUUUCUGUUAGACUGAACCAGGCGUGUCGCUCAUUCGAUACUCUCCUGGAAUUUAUGAUUCCCUUGCCUUAGUCAGCAGUCCUCACUGCUGAGGCAUAUGUUAUUUCCCUGAAUUCUCCUGCUUUCUUAAUAAUCAAAUUCUAUGUUCUCAUAAUGAUAGCGAUUAAGGGAAAACUACUUUUUACCACAUAACUCUGUCCAGUCUUGGUAGAAGACUACUUUUAUUAAAGAAAAUAUAGGAUUUUCUGGAAAAGACACUAAUGUAAUCGAUACACUGAAACCACCACUUUCAUUAAAGUUAUUUGAAUAAAAUUCCACUAAAUGCUUAUGAACUCACCAGCAUUUGUAAAAAUGUUGAUACUCGCUUUUCAAAUAACUUGUAUUCUCAGGUCAGCAUUAGACAGGUACAUCCCCGGAGCUUCUGAUGAAGAUAGCUUAGUACCAUGCUGUACUUAUUAUAUUUACUUGUAUUACUUCGUCGUAUUGUAAUGUAAACCAUGUAAAACUAUUACUAUUAAUGCAAUGUUUUGUUGUACUUUGAUUACUAUAAUGCAUGUGUUGUGAUACUUGACAUGACGUCAUCCACCCCAGAACGUUUCCGCCGUUCCGGUUUUGGGGUGUGACAGAUUGGUAUCAGAGCAUUGUUUAUAGUGAGCUAAGUAUAUCAAUUCAUAAAAGAUAUACAGCCUAUAAAUACAAAGGGAUAAAACACUCUGACCAAGAAUUAUACUUUAAAAUAUAACCAUAUUUUACCAAAGUAUAAGAACAUCCAGAACCUAAACACUCGAACACAAGUAUCACAAUAAGAACAAUAAUAAAAGUCUUCGGAUGUUGAGCAUCACCUUCAAACAUGGGCAGUUAUGUAAUCGUAAGCUGGAAUAAAUGUAACCUGAUCAACUACAUUUAUUCGAGAUGCGAUGAACGUGUGCUUGGGAGUGAUAGUGGUGUUGCAAUAGGUCUGAAACUUACCAAUUAGGAUUGAUAGAGCCAAACAUAAAGUUUUAAAAUACUAUAGGAGUAUUUUGGAAUACUAAAAGACUAACAAUAAUCCCAGAAUCACAAUCAGAAGAUAAGAAUCAAACAAGAAUUAAAAUACCAUAGGGGUAUUUUAGGAUCCAUAACUAACCUUGUGUGAAGAACUAAAAAGAUCCUUAUUGAUAUACCUACAACUACAGAGAGUGUACUCCCAAGGUUAUAUAUAAUAAGGAUCCCAUAGGCUAAGAAUGUGUGGUUUCGCUCUACUUCCUUUUCCUCGUUGGGAUGUGGAUAUAGAGUAGUAUCACAUAUUCGAAGGCCUAUCGGAUCUAAGCUAUAUAUGAUUUGUAUACCCUGUGUAAUCGUAGCAGGACUCGAUAUGGAUCAUCCAGUGAAAUGUUAAUAAUCUCUUAGGAUUCUUUAGACAUUUCCAUUCUUGCACGAACCCUGUAGAAAACCCUAUCCACUUCAGUGCUUAACAGGAGAGUUGAGUCCGACCCCGAAGAAGUUCAUUGAGAAGAUUUCCAGCUCGGAAACGAAUGAACUAGGUCGAGACUAUUGAAUUCACCAAGUGCCUAUAUCUUUUAGGGACAUCGGUGAGAAAUUCGCCUAAACUUCGGAGAUUCCCAGUCAUCCAUCAUGAAGUGAUGACACCCAGAGUCGGAAUCAGAAGGAAGGCGGAGUAGAAACUCAAUAUGUCCAUACGAGGAGAGAACCCUAGGUAACUACCUGAAGGAAACCAACGCCGAUUCCAAUCAAAGAUACGAGGCAGACAGAGGGAGCCAAUACAUGGAACCCUAGAAGUGUCUUACCCUCGUGUUCGUCAUGCUAAUACACCCUUAAAAUAAUACAAUUUAGUGAGUUAGUGAUUACACUACUCACGCUAUGUGUUAGGUAAAUCGUCGUUUCCCGUUGCUAGUUACACGAUUUGAGCGGAUCCCCGCACCUCUAUUGAGAAUAUUUAGCCAUAAGCCUUCAUGAGCCUUUCUUUCGUCGGUCUUCGUUCCAAAAUGUUCUCAAAUCUUUCCAGGUCGGAGAGUGAAACCUUUCCUAGCAUAAAGGUAAUUUAGUAGGAACGAAUCGCAUGUUAUGGCCUUUUUCCAAUACUCAUACUCCUACCUUGCAUACCAGGACUACAUCAUAGGGAUGUAGGUCGACACUCAAACAACCAAUACCAGAGGCACGGGAAAAAUCUAUGCCUAAGGCAGUCGGGACAGAUAUGUCCAGGGUUAGCCAUCGUCUCAUAUUAUCUUGCAUUCCUUUCCGUGUAGGAAAAACUAUGCCAUCAAAGAAGCGUAACCAGUCCACAAGCAAGAAACCUACUCUUUUAUUCGAUGAAGCUACGUUCCAAGCUGCAAUCUCAGCAGCCGUAGCAGCUGUCAUGGCUCAACUGAAUGCUAACAACGCCAAUGUUAGUAAGAGCCCUAUCGGAAAUUCCGAUCCUAGUAGUGGACAGUAGCAACCAACAUCUGCAUACCCCACCGCCCAAGAACCUCACUCAAAUCCACUGAAGAGAAAGAUCAAGAUUGAGGAGGGAAGUAUCUCGACUCAAGGACCUUCCGAAGGACAACGAGCUGAGAUGGUCAAAUUCCCUACCAACCCUUCCAUCUCUACACCUAGGAGACCAUACUUAGGAAACCUUCCCCAUUGCAGCAAGUGCAGCUACCAUCAUCAUGGUGUCUGCCGGGAGCUCUAUUGUGCUAGGUGCCACAUGUUGGGGCAUACUGCUCACGUCUGCGGAACCCCGGUUGAGUUCAUUACAUCAACCACCAAUGUGGCGACCCGUACAGUUUGCCACCUAUGUGGUGAAAUGGGACACUUCAAGAAGGACUGGCCAACCAAAAGGAAAGACGAGGACACAGGAGGAGUCUAACACUACUGCUUAGGGAGAAGCAUCAAGGAACCUGGUAGAUUUUUGGUACGUCUUACGAUCUCAGAUAACUAAACUGAAAAUAUUAAAAGACUAAUUCAAAAUGUAAAUACUUCCCUAAUAAGGCGAAAGUCACAGCACUGUGAUAAAAUUUAAAAAUUCAUUAGGUAAAACUAUAAUGGCUAAACAUAUACGUUACGGCCAUGUAUAGUUAAGAUGGAUAGACCUAGAGUGAGUGAAUGCCGCCUCAUUUCUUGUUCCUUGUUUGGUUGUGGAUUUAGGGCGGAGUCGAUCAGUCAACAGUCCUCCCCACCUUAAUUAUACAUGACUAGUAUAUGUUAGGCGAUUAUAGAAAUGCCUCGUGAGAAUCCAUUCAUGAAAAGAUACUCUACUCGGAAACACUUAGGACUCUCUAUAGUUCCGCGUUGACUCUAUCGGUCCAAGUAUUCGCGGCAGUGGUACAUAGGACGAAACCCGAGACGCCUAGAACUUGUGUGCUUGUUCGGCGCAUGACUCUAUUGACCCUCACUUUAUGUCAUGUCGAAGUAUGCCAACUUCGACGACUCUAUCGAUCAUGGUUUGACGUAGUGCAACCAUGUGUACAUCCUUAGUGCUGUGUAAAAAGAACUUUCUACGUAGCCAUGUCGGCAAAUAAAGGUUCUUCCGAACCUAAACAAAAUAAAAAUAAUAAAGACUAAUGCGAUCCGUUGGUCGUCAUUUUUAUUUCAAACCUUCCGAAGUACCCAGGAGAAGGGUACCGCGCGCUGUUGACCGACCCCUCAUAGUCAUAUGGAAACCGAAGCGAAAGACACUGCAAGAUACUCCAGAAGACAAUAACCAUCCGAAGCAUACUUCGUAGGAUCCCCCAGAGAGACCUUUCGCACCUCGCCCAUCAGGUUCGUGAACCCAGAGAAUAGAACUCAUAGGAAUGACCACUAUAACCAGGUAUAUGCGUAAAGGUGGUAUAUAAUCGAGAUCAAAAAGAUUUAAGAUGUGUGCUUCCUCCCUACUCCCUGUUCCUCGUUGGGUUGUNAAAGUUGUUGUCAUUCCGCUUGAGCCAACAUAGUAGCUAACACCCUCGGUUGGUAAAGAAAUCUGAGUCGUAAGAGUCAAGGACAUUGACUACGACCAUCCAUUCACGCUUAAUCCCCCGAAUUAAGCAUCGCAGCGAAUAUCCCGGAAAUCCGAGAGCUGCGAUAAAUUAAACUCUAAGAAGAGUGGAUGAGAAGACUAAAGUUCCGAGUGAUGGAACCCUAUGCCCACUAGAUUUGACCUAGACCGAGAAAACUCAAGACCUUUGGAAGAGUAGUGCAGUAGAUGCUCGCACUACUCAGACACUUUGUCCACCCUGUUACAGACAAGUAGUGCCUAUAACUCUCCACCCUCUCGCAUGGAGGAAAUCGUCGUCGCCCUGUAGACGAUAGACAACAUUCUUCGAAGGGAACACUAGAAUACCGAGAACCACAGGAUAACCUCCGCAGCCAAGAAUACUUGAUCAAAGUGCAAAAGUAGUUGCGUUGAGCCUCAUGACCCAGAUCCCGAAGAGAUUAUAGACUUAACACCAUCCUUGGUGUUAGUCGAGGGGUUAUGCAAGAGCAUGCGCUUUUCGCACUAGAAUAAACCAACGUCUUAGAGAUUCAAUGGACUACUAGGUGUUCCAUGAAUACUAUCUCGCACAGAAAUAGUAGAACCACCUCCUGAGGUAGUCCAACACUUGUCCGGUGAAACCCUAUCUCCCCGACCCUAAGGGUUUCCGUACCCCAAGCAUCAGAAGUACAGGUUCAUUUUGCACGAGUUUGAGAUAGACACCCUACAACAAAAGGAUACCGGAGACACACAGCCCAUCCGAUGAUCUAGAAAGUCUCUAAAAGUCAAUUGACAGUAAACGCGAACCCAAGGACAACCCGAGAUUCCUAAGAACCAACCUGAAGGACNNNNNNNNNNNNNNNNNNNNNNNNNNNNNNNNNNNNNNNNNNNNNNNNNNNNNNNNNNNNNNNNNNNNNNNNNNNNNNNNNNNNNNNNNNNNNNNNNNNNUAGCCGAAACAAUCUAAACGAGAAUCGAAGGUCUCGUUAAUAGGAAUAAAACGAUAAAAAGAUAGGCGAAAANNNNNNNNNNNNNNNNNNNNNNNNNNNNNNNNNNNNNNNNNNNNNNNNNNNNNNNNNNNNNNNNNNNNNNNNNNNNNNNNNNNNNNNNNNNNNNNNNNNNNNNNNNNNNNNNNNNNNNNNNNNNNNNNNNNNNNNNNNNNNNNNNNNNNNNNNNNNNNNNNNNNNNNNNNNNNNNNNNNNNNNNNNNNNNNNNNNNNNNNNNNNNNNNNNNNNNNNNNNNNNNNNNNNNNNNNNNNNNNNNNNNNNNNNNNNNNNNNNNNNNNNNNNNNNNNNNNNNNNNNNNNNNNNNAUUACGCCCAGCGUAAUUUGAAGUUCCAGCCCCUAUAAAAGGAGGUCGAGGGCAACCGAGUUGUUUGCUCAUUUCUUCCCUUUUUCUCGCGUUUUUGCAUCGUUUUUCGUGCAAGAAUUAUCCCGAAGCCCCGGUAUCAUUCCCGAGCCCCGAAGCAAGUCCCGAGGUCCCGAAGAUCCCGAGAAGUAAGAUUCCCGAGCCGAAGCUCUGCCCGCGAGGAGUCCGGUUUUUGUGAAGAUCUUCCAGAUCUGCCGAAGAAUCCUACUUCUACAAGCCGUAGUGUUGUCCGAUCAUCUUCUGAUCAAGUAGGUGUGUAGUUACUUUCUUCUAACGCAUAAUUAUGAAGUAUUUUAUACGAAAUAUGUGUUAUGUACAUAUUUUUUUUGUUAUGUGUGUGAAUGUAUAUUCACUUUCUUCUAUCUUAUAGAUCUGAUUAUUUCUCUAUGAAAUACGUGUUAUGUGUGUGUGCCUCAUCUGUUAUGUGGAAAAUGUAUUGAUUGAGCAUGCUAUACAGGUUUUAAAACUAUGUAUAAAAAUGUAUAUUUUAUCUGGUAAUAUGUUGGGUAGAACAUGGGUAGAUAGUUGGUGUGUAAUAAACAGAUGAGAGGCCUCGAUGUUGUUUUGAUCCAGUCAUCUAGCGGAAUUUAGAUGACGACCACGAACUUUUUUAGAUAGUCCAGUGGAACGCUAGCAGGCUCAUAACCUGUAUGUGUUAACGAGCUUGGGUGUUC
This 10662-nucleotide long non-coding RNA is filed under the name Lactuca sativa (garden lettuce). RNAcentral's name for it is "long non-coding RNA (LSAT_LNC000183)". Lineage: Eukaryota; Viridiplantae; Streptophyta; Magnoliopsida; Asterales; Asteraceae. The record is from RNAcentral.